Molecule: ribosomal RNA, 507 nt
Filed under: uncultured bacterium
Lineage: Bacteria
Description: bacterial SSU rRNA
Rfam family: Bacterial small subunit ribosomal RNA
Source: RNAcentral
GAGUUUGAUCAUGGCUCAGAUUGAACGCUGGCGGCAGGCCUAACACAUGCAAGUCGAGCGGUAGAGAGAAGCUUGCUUCUCUUGAGAGCGGCGGACGGGUGAGUAAUGCCUAGGAAUCUGCCUGGUAGUGGGGGAUAACGCUCGGAAACGGACGCUAAUACCGCAUACGUCCUACGGGAGAAAGCAGGGGACCUUCGGGCCUUGCGCUAUCAGAUGAGCCUAGGUCGGAUUAGCUAGUUGGUGAGGUAAUGGCUCACCAAGGCGACGAUCCGUAACUGGUCUGAGAGGAUGAUCAGUCACACUGGAACUGAGACACGGUCCAGACUCCUACGGGAGGGCAGCAGUGGGGAAUAUUGGACAAUGGGCGAAAGCCUGAUCCAGCCAUGCCGCGUGUGUGAAGAAGGUCUUCGGAUUGUAAAGCACUUUAAGUUGGGAGGAAGGGCAGUAAAUUAAUACUUUGCUGUUUGACGUUACCGACAGAAUAAGCACCGGCUAACUCUGUGCCAG